This 324-nucleotide ribosomal RNA is filed under the name uncultured eukaryote. Its description in RNAcentral is "partial 18S ribosomal RNA". It matches the Rfam family "Eukaryotic small subunit ribosomal RNA", at positions 1470 to 1795 of the family's 1831-position model. The record is from RNAcentral.
CCCUUAGAUGUUCUGGGCUGCACGCGCGCUACACUGAUGCGCUCAACGAGUUUUAACCUUGCCUGGAAAGGUUGGGUAAUCUUUUUAAAACGCAUCGUGAUGGGGAUAGAUUAUUGCAAUUAUUAAUCUUCAACGAGGAAUUCCUAGUAAGCGCGAGUCAUCAGCUCGUGCUGAUUACGUCCCUGCCCUUUGUACACACCGCCCGUCACUCCUACCGAUUGAGUGAUCCGGUGAAUAAUUCGGACUGCGGCAUUGACCGGUUCCCGAUCGUUGCUGCGGAAAGUUUAGUGAACCUUAUCACUUAGAGGAAGGAGAAGUCGUAAC